Molecule: transfer RNA, 75 nt
Filed under: Craugastor laticeps (broad-headed rainfrog)
Lineage: Eukaryota; Metazoa; Chordata; Amphibia; Anura; Craugastoridae
Description: tRNA-Tyr
Rfam family: tRNA
About the family: Transfer RNA (tRNA) molecules are approximately 80 nucleotides in length.
Source: RNAcentral
AGGUAAGGUGGCCGAGGGAUUUAGAGGCGGUGGGCUGUAGCCCCAAAAACAGAGGUUCAAAUCCUCUCCUUGCCA